RNAcentral lists this ribosomal RNA (439 nucleotides) under uncultured bacterium. Its description in RNAcentral is "partial 16S ribosomal RNA". It matches the Rfam family "Bacterial small subunit ribosomal RNA", at positions 339 to 795 of the family's 1533-position model. The record is from RNAcentral.
CUACGGGAUGCAGCAGUGGGGAAUAUUGCACAAUGGGGGAAACCCUGAUGCAGCAACGCCGCGUGGAGGAUGACACAUUUCGGUGCGUAAACUCCUUUUAUAUAGGAAGAUAAUGACGGUACUAUAUGAAUAAGCGCCGGCUAACUCCGUGCCAGCAGCCGCGGUAAUACGGAGGGCGCAAGCGUUACUCGGAAUCACUGGGCGUAAAGAGCGUGUAGGCGGGUAGUUAAGUCAGAAGUGAAAUCCUAUGGCUCAACCAUAGAACUGCUUUUGAAACUGAUUACCUAGAAUAUGGGAGAGGUAGAUGGAAUUUCUGGUGUAGGGGUAAAAUCCGUAGAGAUCAGAAGGAAUACCGAUUGCGAAGGCGAUCUACUGGAACAUUAUUGACGCUGAGACGCGAAAGCGUGGGGAGCAAACAGGAUUAGAUACCCGUGUAGUC